Molecule: transfer RNA, 84 nt
Filed under: Candidatus Woesearchaeota archaeon
Lineage: Archaea; Nanobdellati; Candidatus Woesearchaeota
Description: tRNA-Ser
Rfam family: tRNA
About the family: Transfer RNA (tRNA) molecules are approximately 80 nucleotides in length.
Source: RNAcentral
GCCACGGUCGCAUAAUCUGGUAGUGCGCCAGCCUUGAGAGCUGGUUUCCGCAAGGAUAUCUCGGUUCAAAUCCGAGCCGUGGCG